Long non-coding RNA from Olea europaea var. sylvestris, 197 nucleotides. RefSeq lists it as uncharacterized. NCBI's taxonomy places the organism in Eukaryota, Viridiplantae, Streptophyta, Magnoliopsida, Lamiales, Oleaceae. The transcript is spliced from 3 exons. The record is from RefSeq and is a predicted model, not a curated record.
AGAGCAAGAUUAUUUACCAAAGAUAUUGACGUCCUCCACCUUAUUGGCGUUGGAAUCCCGUUUGUUGCAGCAACUCAGCCUAUAAAUGCCCUUGCCUUUGUUUUUGAUGGCGUCAACUUUGGAGCAUCUGACUUUGCAUAUUCAGCCUACUCAAUGGUUACUGUGGCUAUAUUCAGCAUUCUAUUUCUGUUCAUUCU